ACGUAGGUGGCAAGCGUUAUCCGGAAUUAUUGGGCGUAAAGCGCGCGCAGGCGGUUUCUUAAGUCUGCUGUGAAAUCCCCGGGCUCAACCUGGGAAUGGCAGUGGAUACUGGAAAGCUGGAGUGCGGUAGAGGGUAGUGGAAUUCCCGGUGUAGCAGUGAAAUGCGUAGAGAUCGGGAGGAACACCAGUGGCGAAGGCGGCUACCUGGACCAGCACUGACACUGAGGCACGAAAGCGUGGGGAGCAAACAGGA
This 253-nucleotide ribosomal RNA is filed under the name uncultured prokaryote. Its description in RNAcentral is "partial 16S ribosomal RNA". It matches the Rfam family "Bacterial small subunit ribosomal RNA", at positions 525 to 777 of the family's 1533-position model. The record is from RNAcentral.